This is a Y RNA of Callithrix jacchus (white-tufted-ear marmoset), 99 nucleotides long. It matches the Rfam family "Y RNA". From Rfam's summary of the family: Y RNAs are components of the Ro ribonucleoprotein particle (Ro RNP), in association with Ro60 and La proteins. The Y RNAs and Ro60 and La proteins are well conserved, but the function of the Ro RNP is not known. NCBI's taxonomy places the organism in Eukaryota, Metazoa, Chordata, Mammalia, Primates, Cebidae. The record is from Ensembl.
GGCUGGUCCAAUGGUAGUAGGCUAUCAGAACUUAUUAACAUUAUUAGUGUCACUGAAGUUAGUAUGCAAACCCCCACUGCUAAAUUUGACUUUUUUUAU